AUGCUCACCUCAGUAGCACAUAUACUAAAAUUGGAUUGAUGCAGAGAAGGUUAGCAUGGCCCCUGCACAAAGAUGACACACAAAUUCAUGAAGGAUUCCAUAUUUAA
Molecule: small nuclear RNA, 107 nt
Organism: Monodelphis domestica (gray short-tailed opossum)
Lineage: Eukaryota; Metazoa; Chordata; Mammalia; Didelphimorphia; Didelphidae
Source: Ensembl